RNAcentral lists this long non-coding RNA (717 nucleotides) under Ananas comosus (pineapple). RNAcentral describes it as "long non-coding RNA (ACOM_LNC015201)". Lineage: Eukaryota; Viridiplantae; Streptophyta; Magnoliopsida; Poales; Bromeliaceae. The record is from RNAcentral.
AGAAUUUGAAAAUUUUUUAAUAAUAUAUCACUACAACAGAAUUAGGUUAUAUGGACACAUGUUUGGGACACUUUUGAGUAAGUGUCCCAUUUAUGCUAAAACUUAAAAAAAAUCUACUUAUACCUAAAUAUAAAGCCCAAUCCAACCAAAAAUAAAAGAUUACUCUACUCAACUAACCACACCCAGUCCAUUUGACCCGAUUACAAAUAGAAAAGAAAAAAAAAAAAGAAAAAUUAAUUACCAUCUUUUCUUCUUUCUUCACUCAAUCCACUGAAAUUCUAGACGAAGAGCCUUUCCUGUCGUCCUUCUCCGCCACCGCAGCCAACGAGAUAGAGUUUCGGCGGUUGCUAAAUGCUUAAAUAAGUGUUGGUAAAUUAGCAGCACUCUUUUAGAUUAUAGCGACACUCCUUAACUGUCACUAUAUACCUAGCGACCCCACAUAUAGCAACACUUUUUAAAAGUGUCGGUAAUUUUAGCUAGCAGCACUUUUUUGACAUGUACCUACAUUUAAAAGUGUCGCUAUAGACCGUUUUUGUUGUAGUGUAUGUACGGAGAAUUUCCAUAAUAUUAUAAAAGAUAAAUUGCACAUAUGGUCCUCAGAAUAUAUGGCGAGUGAUAUUUUAAUCCUCAAAAUUUAAUUUGUUAUUAUCUUUGGCUCGAACUUUUAAAAUCGUGACAAUAAAAUCCCACAACUCAAUUGAGCUGACUAAAUAUUAA